AGCUAAAUCCACUCUAUCAGAGCAGAGCUCAACUGUUUUCACUUAAAUCAAAGGACCUGGCUACAGACUUCAACAUCCUACAUACAGAGUUUUCAGAGCUCACCUGCGCCUCCAAGGACUGAGAUGAGACAGAAGGAUGAUGCAGGCUCUACUCCUGCAAAGGUCAAGAAAGAUUUGGAAUGGCCGGUGGAGGAGACUUCUGAAUUGUAUGAAUAUAAACUUCUUCAGCAUCAAGAGCUUCCGCGUAUAGAGGACAUAAAUCAAUUGAA
Molecule: long non-coding RNA, 269 nt
Organism: Dromaius novaehollandiae (emu)
Lineage: Eukaryota; Metazoa; Chordata; Aves; Casuariiformes; Dromaiidae
Exons: 3
Source: RefSeq, a predicted model, not a curated record